CCUACGGGAGACAGCAGUGAGGAAUAUUGGUCAAUGGACGCAAGUCUGAACCAGCCAUGCCGCGUGCAGGAAGACGGCCCUAUGAGUUGUAAACUGCUUUUGUACGAGGGUAAACUCAGAUACGCGUGUCUGUCUGCAAGUACCGUACGAAUAAGGAUCGGCUAAAUCCGUGCCAGCAGCCGCGGUAAUACGGAGGAUUCAAGCGUUAUCCGGAUUUAUUGGGUUUAAAGGGUGCGUAGGCGGUCGGAUAAGUUAGUGGUGAAAUGCCGAGGCUCAACUUCGGAAUUGCCGCUGAUACUGUUCGGCUAGAGAGUAGUUGCGGUAGGCGGAAUGUAUGGUGUAGCGGUGAAAUGCUUAGAGAUCAUACAGAACACCGAUUGCGAAGGCAGCUUACCAUGCUACUUCUGACGUUGAGGCACGAAAGUGUGGGGAGCAAACAGGAUUAGAUACCCGAGUAGUC
Molecule: ribosomal RNA, 460 nt
Filed under: uncultured bacterium
Lineage: Bacteria
Description: partial 16S ribosomal RNA
Rfam family: Bacterial small subunit ribosomal RNA
Source: RNAcentral